GACUGAGUGGCGGACGGGUGAGUAACGCGUGGAUAACCUACCAUAUACAGGGGGACAACAGUUGGAAACGACUGCUAAUACCGCAUAAGCGCACAGUGCCGCAUGGCACGGUGUGAAAAACUCCGGUGGUAUAUGAUGGAUCCGCGUCUGAUUAGCUAGUUGGUGAGGUAAUGGCCCACCAAGGCAACGAUCAGUAGCCGACCUGAGAGGGUGACCGGCCACAUUGGGACUGAGACACGGCCCAAACUCC
Molecule: ribosomal RNA, 250 nt
Filed under: uncultured Lachnospiraceae bacterium
Lineage: Bacteria; Bacillati; Bacillota; Clostridia; Lachnospirales; Lachnospiraceae
Description: partial 16S ribosomal RNA
Rfam family: Bacterial small subunit ribosomal RNA
Source: RNAcentral